RNAcentral lists this long non-coding RNA (1300 nucleotides) under Calidris pugnax (ruff). RNAcentral's name for it is "lncRNA (ENSCPUG00000019823.1)". Lineage: Eukaryota; Metazoa; Chordata; Aves; Charadriiformes; Scolopacidae. The record is from RNAcentral.
GGAGAGAUGUAGGACAGGUUGGGUAACAGCCUGUCUUGGGUGUAAAGCUCAGAGAGGGAAAUCCCUCCAGAGGUUUAACUGCAAGCUCUCCACCGCUCACUGCAGCCCCUGCCCUGCAUGAGAGCUUGAGCAGGGGGCAGCAAGCAGGACCUGCAGCCCAGGCUCUCUGCCACAGACUUGUGUGUUUGGGCAGAGGGGAUUUUCAGUAGAUUUUCUAAGGGUGGAUGCAGGAGACAAUUGCUUAAGUGUUGCUUGCUUUUCUUCCAGUGCUGGUUUGCAAGCUCCUCUUGCUGCUGAGAUCCAGGAUGCUGUGAAUGACCAGGCAGCACCCCAGGGAAACCCCAUCUUUCCACCCAAAGAGCAAAGUCCCCAUCACUUGCCUGCUGCUGUCUGCAUGUAGCCAGCCAGGGUGCAGACUCGCCUCUCGCAGGCUCCGCCGGGCAGUAGGACAGCAACGAUGGCCAGCAGCGAGCUGAGGGCCAGCAGGACACAGCCACCCGCACACAGCACGGCGCUCGUCUGAAAGGACACACAGGGUUGUCAGCGAAGUGGUUCCCCACCACCAUCCCCACAACAGCUCCCCACGAAUUCUCCCUCUUGAAGUGAGAAGUGGGGCCCCAUCAUGGGCAGCUUCUCCCACCCCUUCCCUUCCACCUUCUGCUGCUUAAGUUCACUGGUAGCAUUCCCACCCCUGCCAAUGGGAUGGCACUGGCAGCGAGGUGGUCCCCAUACCAGAGGGGACAUGUGCCAGCCCAGCCAGGGGCAUGGGGUGACCCAUGAUGGGUGCCUCCUCCUCCAGCAUCCAGCUCAUGGCAGCCUUCAAACAGCGCGAGGGCACCUCGGUCCCAGCACUGCAGCAGCCACGUCAAGUCCUGUAAUUUCACAGCAUUUCAUGGCAAAUUCUACAGAAUGCUCCUGGCUUUGGGCCUUGGCUGGGAAUUAUUCCAAGUGCUCCUGCCCUGUACUGGAGUCGCACCUGUAGACCAAACAGCUGCUUCCAAAGAAAAAUGAUGAGCCUUAAGUUUGAAGGAGUCCAUGGAGCAAAGGUACCGACCAGUAGCAGCUAAAAACCCGCUUCUUCCAACCGCACAGCACCUCCUUCUCUCCUCCCUGUUUGUGCCUGUUGCAUCUUGAGCGGAAAGGAGAGGAUGCAGGAAACAGGAUGCAAAGGCUGAAACCCAAAAAUAGACCGGGGGGGAAAACAAACGGGAUGCAUCAAGGCCGUCUGUGAGAGCCCAGCUCAGGCUGGGACAGGAAAAAGCUCAUUCAUCACAGCAGAGAGCACAGCUCCCACUGCAAA